Molecule: ribosomal RNA, 253 nt
Filed under: uncultured bacterium
Lineage: Bacteria
Description: partial 16S ribosomal RNA
Rfam family: Bacterial small subunit ribosomal RNA
Source: RNAcentral
UACGUAGGGUGCAAGCGUUAAUCGGAAUUACUGGGCGUAAAGCGUGCGCAGGCGGCUAUGUAAGUCAGAUGUGAAAUCCCCGGGCUCAACCUGGGAACUGCAUUUGUGACUGCAUAGCUAGAGUUCGGUAGAGGGGGAUGGAAUUCCGCGUGUAGCAGUGAAAUGCGUAGAUAUGCGGAGGAACACCGAUGGCGAAGGCAAUCCCCUGGACCUGUACUGACGCUCAUGCACGAAAGCGUGGGGAGCAAACAGG